RNAcentral lists this transfer RNA (77 nucleotides) under Candidatus Methanoperedens sp. RNAcentral's name for it is "tRNA-Ile". It matches the Rfam family "tRNA". Rfam says of the family: Transfer RNA (tRNA) molecules are approximately 80 nucleotides in length. Their secondary structure includes four short double-helical elements and three loops (D, anti-codon, and T loops). The record is from RNAcentral. RNAcentral also lists the same sequence under 1 other name. Lineage: Archaea; Methanobacteriati; Methanobacteriota; Methanomicrobia; Methanosarcinales; Candidatus Methanoperedentaceae.
GGGCCCAUAGCUUAGCCAGGUGGAGCGUUCGGCUGAUAACCGAAAGGUCCUGCGUUCAAAUCGCAGUGGGCCCACCA